AACGCUAGCUACAGGCUUAACACAUGCAAGUCGUGGGGCAUCAGGAAGAAAGCUUGCUUUCUUUGCUGGCGACCGGCGCACGGGUGAGUAACACGUAUCCAACCUGCCCUUUACUCGGGGAUAGCCUUUCGAAAGAAAGAUUAAUACCCGAUAGCAUAAUGAUUCCGCAUGGUUUCAUUAUUAAAGGAUUCCGGUAAAGGAUGGGGAUGCGUUCCAUUAGGUUGUUGGUGAGGUAACGGCCCACCAAGCCUUCGAUGGAUAGGGGUUCUGAGAGGAAGGUCCCCCACAUUGGAACUGAGACACGGUCCAAACUCCUACGGGAGGCAGCAGUGAGGAAUAUUGGUCAAUGGGCGCUAGCCUGAACCAGCCAAGUAGCGUGAAGGAUGAAGGCUCUAUGGGUCGUAAACUUCUUUUAUAUAAGAAUAAAGUGCAGUAUGUAUACUGUUUUGUAUGUAUUAUAUGAAUAAGGAUCGGCUAACUCCGUGCCAGCAGCCGCGGUAAUACGGAGGAUCCGAGCGUUAUCCGGAUUUAUUGGGUUUAAAGGGAGCGUAGGUGGACUGGUAAGUCAGUUGUGAAAGUUUGCGGCUCAACCGUAAAAUUGCAGUUGAUACUGUCAGUCUUGAGUACAGUAGAGGUGGGCGGAAUUCGUGGUGUAGCGGUGAAAUGCUUAGAUAUCACGAAGAACUCCGAUUGCGAAGGCAGCUCACUGGACUGCAACUGACACUGAUGCUCGAAAGUGUGGGUAUCAAACAGGAUUAGAUACCCUGGUAGUCCACACAGUAAACGAUGAAUACUCGCUGUUUGCGAUAUACAGUAAGCGGCCAAGCGAAAGCAUUAAGUAUUCCACCUGGGGAGUACGCCGGCAACGGUGAAACUCAAAGGAAUUGACGGGGGCCCGCACAAGCGGAGGAACAUGUGGUUUAAUUCGAUGAUACGCGAGGAACCUUACCCGGGCUUAAAUUGCAGUGGAAUGAUGUGGAAACAUGUCAGUGAGCAAUCACCGCUGUGAAGGUGCUGCAUGGUUGUCGUCAGCUCGUGCCGUGAGGUGUCGGCUUAAGUGCCAUAACGAGCGCAACCCUUAUCUUUAGUUACUAACAGGUUAUGCUGAGGACUCUAGAGAGACUGCCGUCGUAAGAUGUGAGGAAGGUGGGGAUGACGUCAAAUCAGCACGGCCCUUACGUCCGGGGCUACACACGUGUUACAAUGGGGGGUACAGAAGGCAGCUAGCGGGUGACCGUAUGCUAAUCCCAAAAUCCUCUCUCAGUUCGGAUCGAAGUCUGCAACCCGACUUCGUGAAGCUGGAUUCGCUAGUAAUCGCGCAUCAGCCACGGCGCGGUGAAUACGUUCCCGGGCCUUGUACACACCGCCCGUCAAGCCAUGGGAGCCGGGGGUACCUGAAGUACGUAACCGCAAGGAUCGUCCUAGGGUAAAACUGGUGA
RNAcentral lists this ribosomal RNA (1439 nucleotides) under uncultured organism. RNAcentral's name for it is "16S ribosomal RNA". It matches the Rfam family "Bacterial small subunit ribosomal RNA". The record is from RNAcentral.